RNAcentral lists this ribosomal RNA (299 nucleotides) under Alima maxima. Its description in RNAcentral is "partial 12S ribosomal RNA". It matches the Rfam family "Bacterial small subunit ribosomal RNA", at positions 872 to 1344 of the family's 1533-position model. Lineage: Eukaryota; Metazoa; Arthropoda; Malacostraca; Stomatopoda; Squillidae. The record is from RNAcentral.
CCUGGGUAGUAUAUAGUUAUCGUCUCGAAACCCAAAGAGUUUGGCGGUAUCUCAGUCUAGUUAGAGGAGCUUGUUCGGUAAUCGAUAAUCCGCGAAAAAUCUUACGCACUCUAGUAGUCAGUUUAUAUACCGUCGUUAUUAGAUAAUACUAAAAAGUGAAAAAUUGUCUGAAUAUACCUAAAUGUAAUAUAUCAGAUCAAGGUGUAGCUUAUGAGUGUGGCUGAAUGAGCUACAAUUUAAUAAAAAAAAACGAAUAUUAUUUUUAAACAAAUGAUUGAAGGUGGAUUUAAUAGUAAUUG